Salvelinus sp. IW2-2015 is the source of this 298-nucleotide non-coding RNA. The record is from RefSeq and is a predicted model, not a curated record. NCBI's taxonomy places the organism in Eukaryota, Metazoa, Chordata, Actinopteri, Salmoniformes, Salmonidae.
CUAUUGGUCCCAUUGCAUGUAUUUGGACUGUGCCUGCUGUUUGUCCUCCGGUCCAGGGGGUGGAGCUGGAGAGCACCAGGCUGGUGAUCAGGUACCCAGACAGCUAGAUGCAGAGAACCCCUCCCUCUCCUCAGAGGACCAACCCUAUAGGCCUCAACACCUCCUCAGCCUCCAAGUACGCCUCCACAGGGACCAGGAGGAUGGCUCCCAUCAAUGGUGACGAGUGUUUCUUCUGGAGGACCACCGGCUGUUUCUAUGGUGACAAGUGUCGCUUCAAACACAAGCCUGACCAGAGAGG